RNAcentral lists this ribosomal RNA (466 nucleotides) under uncultured Lysobacteraceae bacterium. Its description in RNAcentral is "bacterial SSU rRNA". It matches the Rfam family "Bacterial small subunit ribosomal RNA", at positions 337 to 795 of the family's 1533-position model. The record is from RNAcentral. Lineage: Bacteria; Pseudomonadati; Pseudomonadota; Gammaproteobacteria; Lysobacterales; Lysobacteraceae.
UCCUACGGGUGGCAGCAGUGGGGAAUAUUGGACAAUGGGCGAAAGCCUGAUCCAGCAAUGCCGCGUGUGUGAAGAAGGCCUGCGGGUUGUAAAGCACUUUUGUUCGGGAAGAAAACGCGCUGACUAAUACUUAGCGUGGAUGACGGUACCGAAAGAAUAAGCACCGGCUAACUUCGUGCCAGCAGCCGCGGUAAUACGAAGGGUGCAAGCGUUAAUCGGAAUUACUGGGCGUAAAGGGUGCGUAGGCGGCUCUUUAAGUCGGAUGUGAAAUCCCCGGGCUCAACCUGGGAAUGGCAUCCGAUACUGGGGAGCUGGAGUUUGGGCGAGGGUGGUGGAAUUCCCGGUGUAGCGGUGAAAUGCGUAGAGAUCGGGAGGAACAUCAGUGGCGAAGGCGGCCACCUGGCCUAAAACUGACGCUGAAGCACGAAAGCGUGGGGAGCAAACAGGAUUAGAUACCCCUGUAGUC